GACGAACGCUGGCGGCAUGCCUAAUACAUGCAAGUCGAGCGAACAGAUGAAGUGCUUGCACUUCUGACGUUAGCGGCGAACGGGUGAGUAACACGUAAGGAAUCUACCUAUAAGCGGGGGAUAACAUUCGGAAACGGGUGCUAAUACCGCAUAAAAUCUUCUUCCGCAUGGAAGAAGAUUGAAAGACGGCUCUGCUGUCACUUAUAGAUGACCUUGCGGUGCAUUAGGUAGUUGGUGGGGUAACGGCCUACCAAGACGAUGAUGCAUAGCCGACCUGAGCGGGUGAUCGGCCACAUUGGGACGGAGACACGGCCCAAACCCCUACGGGAGGCAGCAGUAGGGAAUCUUCCGCAAUGGGCGAAAGCCUGACGGAGCAAUGCCGCGUGAGUGAAGAAGGCCUUCUGGUCGUAAAACUCUGUUAUAAGAGAAGAACAAAUUGUAGAGUAACUGCUACAGUCUUGACGGUAUCUUAUCAGAAAGCCACGGCUAACUACGUGCCAGCAGCCGCCGUAA
This 513-nucleotide ribosomal RNA is filed under the name uncultured bacterium. RNAcentral's name for it is "partial 16S ribosomal RNA". It matches the Rfam family "Bacterial small subunit ribosomal RNA", at positions 28 to 523 of the family's 1533-position model. The record is from RNAcentral.